UGCUGUGAUGAUGUAAUUUGCGUCUUAUCCAGUGUCCAGUGACAGUUGCCUGCUGUCAGUGUGCUGGCACUGCUGAGCUGAAGACCCUUUCGUUCUGAGCA
Molecule: small nucleolar RNA, 101 nt
Organism: Buceros rhinoceros silvestris
Lineage: Eukaryota; Metazoa; Chordata; Aves; Bucerotiformes; Bucerotidae
Rfam family: Small nucleolar RNA SNORD16
About the family: U16 is a member of the C/D class of snoRNA which contain the C (UGAUGA) and D (CUGA) box motifs. U81 acts as a guanine methylation guide and is found in an intron of ribosomal proteins L1 gene in animals.
Source: Rfam